ACUCCUACGGGAGGCAGCAGUGGGGAAUAUUGCACAAUGGGGGAAACCCUGAUGCAGCCAUGCCGCGUGUGUGAAGAAGGCCUUCGGGUUGUAAAGCACUUUCAGUAGGGAGGAAGGUAGUGUAGUUAACACCUGCAUAUUGAUCGUUAUCCUACAGAAGAAGCACCGGCUAACUCCGUGCCAGCAGCCGCGGUAAUACGGAGGGUGCGAGCGUUAAUCGGAAUUACUGGGCGUAAAGC
RNAcentral lists this ribosomal RNA (239 nucleotides) under uncultured bacterium. Its description in RNAcentral is "partial 16S ribosomal RNA". It matches the Rfam family "Bacterial small subunit ribosomal RNA", at positions 335 to 566 of the family's 1533-position model. The record is from RNAcentral.